CUGAAUGGUCUUUGACCUUCUACCCUUCAAACCUGUGGAAGCGAAUAUCGUGCUUCGGCGUCCCUUUAGGGUCGCCGCUUUUAUGCAGAAACCGGUGUGUUGUCUGACUGAAAACAUAAAAAUCA
Molecule: unclassified non-coding RNA, 125 nt
Filed under: uncultured Ascomycota
Lineage: Eukaryota; Fungi; Ascomycota
Description: sequence contains ITS1
Source: RNAcentral